RNAcentral lists this ribosomal RNA (722 nucleotides) under uncultured bacterium. Its description in RNAcentral is "partial 16S ribosomal RNA". It matches the Rfam family "Bacterial small subunit ribosomal RNA", at positions 108 to 850 of the family's 1533-position model. The record is from RNAcentral.
GAGUAACACGUGGAGAACCUGCCCCCUCCCCCGGGAUAGCCGCCCGAAAGGACGGGUAAUACCGGAUACCCCGGGGUGCCGCAUGGCACCCCGGCUAAAGCCCCGACGGGAGGGGAUGGCUCCGCGGCCCAUCAGGUAGACGGCGGGGUGACGGCCCACCGUGCCGACAACGGGUAGCCGGGUUGAGAGACCGACCGGCCAGAUUGGGACUGAGACACGGCCCAGACUCCUACGGGAGGCAGCAGUGGGGAAUCUUGCGCAAUGGGGGGAACCCUGACGCAGCGACGCCGCGUGCGGGACGGAGGCCUUCGGGUCGUAAACCGCUUUCAGCAGGGAAGAGUCAAGACUGUACCUGCAGAAGAAGCCCCGGCUAACUACGUGCCAGCAGCCGCGGUAAUACGUAGGGGGCGAGCGUUAUCCGGAUUCAUUGGGCGUAAAGCGCGCGUAGGCGGCCCGGCAGGCCGGGGGUCGAAGCGGGGGGCUCAACCCCCCGAAGCCCCCGGAACCUCCGCGGCUUGGGUCCGGUAGGGGAGGGUGGAACACCCGGUGUAGCGGUGGAAUGCGCAGAUAUCGGGUGGAACACCGAUGGCGAAGGCGGCCCUCUGGGCCGAGACCGACGCUGAGGCGCGAAAGCUGGGGGAGCGAACAGGAUUAGAUACCCUGGUAGUCCCAGCCGUAAACGAUGGACGCUAGGUGUGGGGGGACGAUCCCCCCGUGCCGCA